UACGGAGGGUGCAAGCGUUAUCCGGAUUCACUGGGUUUAAAGGGUGCGUAGGUGGGAAUGUAAGUCAGUGGUGAAAUCUCUGAGCUUAACUCAGAAACUGCCAUUGAUACUAUGUUUCUUUGAAUUUUCUGGAGGUCAGCGGAAUAUGUCAUGUAGCGGUGAAAUGCUUAGAUAUGACAUAGAACACCAAUUGCGAAGGCAGCUGGCUACAGGGAUAUUGACACUGAGGCACGAAAGCGUGGGGAUCAAACAGG
RNAcentral lists this ribosomal RNA (254 nucleotides) under uncultured bacterium. Its description in RNAcentral is "partial 16S ribosomal RNA". It matches the Rfam family "Bacterial small subunit ribosomal RNA", at positions 524 to 776 of the family's 1533-position model. The record is from RNAcentral.